RNAcentral lists this ribosomal RNA (744 nucleotides) under Salmonella enterica subsp. enterica. Its description in RNAcentral is "partial 23S ribosomal RNA". It matches the Rfam family "Bacterial large subunit ribosomal RNA", at positions 911 to 1569 of the family's 2925-position model. Lineage: Bacteria; Pseudomonadati; Pseudomonadota; Gammaproteobacteria; Enterobacterales; Enterobacteriaceae. The record is from RNAcentral.
UGUUUCGGCUAGGGGGCCAUCCCGGCUUACCAACCCGAUGCAAACUGCGAAUACCGGAGAAUGUUAUCACGGGAGACACACGGCGGGUGCUAACGUCCGUCGUGAAGAGGGAAACAACCCAGACCGCCAGCUAAGGUCCCAAAGUCAUGGUUAAGUGGGAAACGAUGUGGGAAGGCCCAGACAGCCAGGAUGUUGGCUUAGAAGCAGCCAUCAUUUAAAGAAAGCGUAAUAGCUCACUGGUCGAGUCGGCCUGCGCGGAAGAUGUAACGGGGCUAAACCAUGCACCGAAGCUGCGGCAGCGAACGUAUCACCCAAGACAACUUUGCGGAGUUGACGAUUGACGGAGCGAAGCGACGUCAAAGCGUUCAUUAAAGUCGAGUUGGCUUAGGGAUACGUUCGUUGGGUAGGGGAGCGUUCUGUAAGCCAGUGAAGGUGUGUCGUGAGGCAUGCUGGAGGUAUCAGAAGUGCGAAUGCUGACAUAAGUAACGAUAAAGCGGGUGAAAAGCCCGCUCGCCGGAAGACCAAGGGUUCCUGUCCAACGUUAAUCGGGGCAGGGUGAGUCGACCCCUAAGGCGAGGCCGAAAGGCGUAGUCGAUGGGAAACGGGUUAAUAUUCCCGUACUUGGUGUUACUGCGAAGGGGGGACGGAGAAGGCUAUGUUGGCCGGGCGACGGUUGUCCCGGUUUAAGCGUGUAGGUGUGUGUUCCAGGUAAAUCCGGUUCACUUUAACACUGAGGCGUGAUGA